GCGCCCGUAGCUCAGCUGGAUAGAGCGCUGGGCUUCGAACCCAGAUGUCGGGGGUUCGAAUCCCUCCGGGCGUG
Molecule: transfer RNA, 74 nt
Filed under: Myxococcales bacterium
Lineage: Bacteria; Pseudomonadati; Myxococcota; Myxococcia; Myxococcales
Also listed under: 1 other name
Description: tRNA-Arg
Rfam family: tRNA
About the family: Transfer RNA (tRNA) molecules are approximately 80 nucleotides in length. Their secondary structure includes four short double-helical elements and three loops (D, anti-codon, and T loops).
Source: RNAcentral